RNAcentral lists this ribosomal RNA (468 nucleotides) under uncultured bacterium. RNAcentral's name for it is "partial 16S ribosomal RNA". It matches the Rfam family "Bacterial small subunit ribosomal RNA", at positions 28 to 507 of the family's 1533-position model. The record is from RNAcentral.
GACGAACGCUGGCGGCGUGCUUAACACAUGCAAGUCGAACGGAAAGGCCCUGCUUUUGUGGGGUGCUCGAGUGGCGAACGGGUGAGUAACACGUGAGUAACCUGCCCUUGACUUUGGGAUAACUUCAGGAAACUGGGGCUAAUACCGGAUAGGAGCUCCUGCUGCAUGGUGGGGGUUGGAAAGUUUCGGCGGUUGUGGAUGGACUCGCGGCUUAUCAGCUUGUUGGUGAGGUAGUUGCUUACCAAGGCUUUGACGGGUAGCCGGCCUGAGAGGGUGACCGGCCACAAUGGGACUGAGAUACGGCGCAGACUGCUACGGGAGGCAGCAGUGGAGAAUAUUGCACAAUGGGCGGAAGUCUGAUGCAGCAACGCCGCGUGCGGGAUGACGGCCUUCGGGUUGUAAACCGCUUUCGCCUGUGACGAAGCGGGAGUGACGGUAAUGGGUAAAGAAGCACCGGCUAACUACGUG